AUGGGUGGAUCCUGCAGGAGGUGUCCAUCAGAAAGUGGCUACGUACAGGCCACAGCUGACUCUCCAGUCUGAGCUGGAUCACCCAGUAAAAGGGAAAGUGUUGUGUCUUAGAAAUAUCAGGGUACUGAGUUCCCAUCAUGGCUCAGUGGUUAACGAAUCUGACUAGCAUCCAUGAGGAUGCAGGUUCAGUCCCUGGCCUUGCUCAGUGGGUUAGGGAUCUGGCGAUGCCAUGAGGUGGGGGGUAGUUCAAAUAUGUGGUUCAGAUCCUGUGUUGCUGUAGAUGGAGUAUAGGUCAGCAACUACAGCUCUGAUUUGACCCCUAGCCUGGGAACCUCCAUAUGCCACAAGUGUGGCCCUAAAAAGAAAAAAAAAAGGGAUAACUUUCAGUCGACUCAGCUAGCCUAAAGCCCACAUUAUUGGAUGGGCCAUCGGGGUUCAGACAUACUUUAGGGUCUCCAGAUGUAGAAUUCUGAGCAAGCAGGCAGCUGCUUGGAGUAUUGGGCGUGUAGUUUUCCAGAGUCCUGGGGGUUGGCCUCUGGAGAGCUGGGCUGCUGGUCAAUGAAAAGUGAGUGUAAAAGCCUACAUCUUUUGGAGGGAGGCUGUCUUCAUGCAGGAGCCCUCUCUCUUAAGGGUGUUCUGCCAUGUUCCUUAGUUUUUUCACCAUCUGAGCCUCUCCUGCCUUUCAAGCACCACUGAGGGAACGUCUCACCUGAAGCAGGUGACACAGUAGAAUGACUGGUGAAGCAGGGUGUUCUGGGAAGUAAUGUAAAGCCAUUGCCUGACUUGAAAUGUGUUCCCCCAAUGGCUUAAAGGGAGUGCUGACAGACUGGGAGCAGAGAGGCACAUGGAAGACUUAGUGAAAUACCACCCUCCAUAAGGCUGUAGAUGAUUCUGAGAGAGUGAAGCAACAGGAGGACCAAGCUCCCAGGUGCUCAAGAGCAGUGCCAAUGGAACUGGGUCUGGUCAGGAGGCAGAAGUUUGGGAUGAGAAUAGCUGGGAGUUGGAAUAACCACUAGAGGUCAAGGAGCUCCAACAUAAUUAGAUGCUGCUUAGUGUUGGCCCUUCCAGGGUUAGAGAUUGGGUUGUAGGUGGUGCUGGUGGCACCCCAGGGACCUCCCAGUGAGGAAAGUUGAGUUACAGCUGCUUCAGACUCUCAGGUCCCAAACACAUCCCCUGGGGGUGGGUGGGUAGUUCUUCCAUCAUGACCAGGUGGUCAGUUCCAUAGGGAUCACGGAGCCCUAAGUACUGAUGAUUUGACCGUCUCUCUGGGGAGCAGGUGCAGUUGGACUGAUAGCCUUUGGUUUCUCCAGCAGUAUAACCCUGAAUCCACACGUACUUGGUUUGAGCCUUGGGCAUGUCUGAUUUGGAGAAUGGGGCUUUGGUGGGAGGUGGCACCUGGAAAGCAGUGCUUGAGGACAUGAAUGGAGAGUUGUAGAAGUGGCAUUUUUGGCUUCACAGGAUGUGAUCUUUCUUGGGUCUCAGUCUCAAAUUCCUCCCUAUGGUUCCUUUUUUUUUUUCCCCUAACUGAGCCAUGGCUUGCUAAAAGUAACGCAUGAAAAUGAACAAUGGCAAGGAAUAGGUUGCAUGUAUUCAGGCAGCCAGAUGUAUUUACAGGUGGUGAGCUGAACUGAAGUGGGAUCAGCUGGAUGACAUGGGGUAGUGGUGAUGGGCAGGGAGGAGGAGGGAGAGUCGCAGGAGACUUUGAGAGAGACCUCUGGCCCCUGUAAAGCACACAGUUGUACUUAGAAGGAGGGUAGGAGGGAGAUGCGCCUUCAGGUGAAUAAGGCGAGCGUGGUGCUAGUGUGGCUUUGGUCAGGAUACAGGAUGAAGGGCUCUGAAUUCUUAUUUGAUGAUUCAUCACCACAGGGCAAAGGAGCACUGGCAGAGCCCAGCAGCUGCUUGGCAUUGGCGAAUCCCAGCCCAGAGGUGGGGUUUGAGUUGGCAGAGGUGGAUCCCCCUGAGACACGUAUUGCAAGGAGGGCUAGGUUACAGUUUGCUGCUGACUCUCAAGUCUCAAUUGAUUCACCUGAUAGGAAGGACUUGUGCUGCCCUUUCCACCUUUCAGACAGCUCUGUAGCCAGAUGAUCCCCCAGGAAGUGUCCAUUAAAAGGUGGUCACAUACAGGCCACAGCUGACCCUCGAGUCUGAAUUAGAAUAUCCCGUAAAAGGGAAAGUGUUCUGCCUUCCAAAUAUCAGGGUCACCUUCAGUCGACCCAGCCAGCCCAAAGCCCACGUUGGAGGACAGGCCAUCAGGGCUCCUAUGGCCUUGGGGUUCCUCAGAAGUAGAACUCUGAGCAGGCAGGCAUGUGGCUGGAUUACUGGACAUGCAGAUUCCCAGAGUCCAGGGGUCUGGAGAGCUGGGCUGCUGGUCAUCACUGAAGAGCGAGUGUACAGCCGAUGUCUUGUGGCGGGCAGGCUGUCUUUAUGCAGGAGCCCUCUCCCAAGGGUGUUCUGCAAUGCGCCUUACUUUUUCUCCAUCUUACCCGAAGCCAGGUGACACAAAACAAAGGCUGGAGAUGUGGGGUGUUGUGGGGAAUAAUGCAAAGGCAGCUGCCUGACUCCAAGUGUGUUUCCUUGAUGGACUCAUAGGUGUGAUGACACACAGGGAGCCGGGAGGCAUAUGGAGGACUCAGAAUUACCACCUCCAUAAGGCCUUAGAUGAUUCUGAGAGAGUGAACCAGACAGGAGGACCAACGCUGGCUUAUAGGUACACAAAAACCAUGCCAGCAGAACCAAGUGUGGUCAGGAGGCAGAGUGUGGGACAAGAGUAGUAAUGGCCACUAGAGGAAGAGGAGCCCAAACAUACUGAGAUGCUGUUACGUGUUGGCAUCUCGAGCAUAGGAAAUGUGGUUGGAGUGGGCACUGGUGGCACCGGGAGGACGUGCCCAGUGAGGUCAGUUGAGUUACAUGUUGUUUCUGACUCUCGAGUCCCAAACACAUGUCCUGGGAGUGGGCACGUAGUUCCUGCUUCACAACUAGGGAUCAUUUCCAUAGGGAUUACGGAGCCCUAAGUACUGAUGAUUUGACAGGCUAUGGGGGGGGCGGGGUCUUACAGCCUCUGGGUUCUGCAGCAUGAAAACCCAGAAUUCACAGGUACUUGGUUUGAGCCUUGCAUAUGUCCCUUUACCAAAAUGGGGCUUGGUCAGAGGUGGCAUCUGGAAAGCAGCGCUUGAGGACCUGAAUGGAGUGUGUAGAAGUGGCAUCUUGGGCUGGCCGGGAUGUGCUCCUUCCUGGGAUUUAAGUCUCAAAUUAUUCCCUAGAGUUUCUUUUUUUUUUCUUUGUCUACCUGCCCCACUGCUUCCUGCAACUUAUUCCUGAGGAACUAACCAGAGUGUGUACUAGGUCACAUGUAUUAAUGCAGGCUUAUGGAUUUCCAGCUGUUGAGCUGACUUGAAGUGGAAUCAGCUGAUAAUGUAGGGCAUUGGGUUGGAUAGGCCGGAUGAUGGAGAGUCCCAGGAGACUUUGAGAGAGACUUCUGGCCUCUGUAAGGCACAAGGUGGAACUUAGGAUGAGAGUAGGAGGGAGUUCAGCCUUCAGCUGAAGGAGGAGGGUGCAGCGCAUCCACGGCUUUGGUCAGGAGGCAGGAGGAAGGGCUCUGAGUUGUUAUUUGAGGGGGUGGCCACCAGAGGGCGACAGAGCACUGACAGGGCCCAGCAGCUGCUUGGCAUUGGCAAAUCCCAGCCCAGAGGUGAGGCUGGAAUUGGGUGAAGUGGAUCCCCACGGGACAUGCCUUGGCAGGAGGGCUAGGUUACAGGUCUAAAUUAACUCACCUGAUAGGAAGGACUUGUCCUGCUCUUAUCAUCUGUGGGUCACUUUCAGAUAGCUAGUGAAGCCUAAAUUCCAGAUGAUUGGACAGGCCGUCUAGAGUUCUGAUGGCCUUCGGCUUCCGCAGAGGCUGACAUCUCAGCCAAAAAGCAUGAGACUGAGGACUAUGCUUUCAGUGCUCCCAAUCAGGCUUCUGCAGGGUUUGCCCUCAGGACAGGUGGGUGGGUGCUUGUGAAUUGAAUGCACUAAACCCGUGCUUCCUUGAUCAGCCCACUGGCUGCAUUCAUCCCAGAGAUGGGUCUCUUGAGGAUUCUCUGAAAAGUUUCUUUUCCUUUGUUCAGAGCCUCUCCCCUCCUCUAAUUUCCCCCCCCGAGAGGAAAAACAAACCUCUGGCCAAAACCCAGAAAUGAAGAAUGGGGAACAGGAUUCAUUGAAAUCCUGUCACCAGAUUUGGAUGGGUUCGACUCAAGGAUUUAGAGAGUGGGGAAGGAUUGGGAGGAGUGAGUGCCAUAGCUGACUUUGAGAGAAUGAUAAUGUCCCUAGAAAGAGCAGGAUUGUUCUUAGAGUGAGAGGAGGGAGUAAAUCAACUAUUUGGAGCACAAGCCAAGGGCAUUCUUUCCUGUUCAGGAAGCUGGAGGCAGGGCUGUGAGUUGUCAUUAGAGAGAAUGGCCACCAGAGGGCGCCAAAACACGUUUCAAGCCCAGCCGAGGCUUGGUAGUAUCACCUCCAGGUUAAAAGAUGGGUUUCAAGACGGGGAUGGGAGGAUCCCCCAGGAGAUGUCCUUCGAAAAGAGGUUGCGUACAGGCCUCAGGUGACUCCCGUCUGAACUGGCACACCCGGUAAAAGGGAACAUGUUCUGCCCUCCAAAUGUCAUGGUCAGGUUCAGUCGACUCAGCCAACCCAAAGCCCACAUCGUUGUAUGUGCCACUGGGGUCCACAGGGCCUUGGGGUUCUCCAGAAGUAGGAGUGCUAGCACGCAGGUGGCUGGCUGGGGUUUGGGGCCUGCAGUUUUCCAGGGUCCAGGGCUUGGCCUCUGGAGAGCUGGGCUGCUGGUCGUCAAUGAAGAGUGUGUGUAAAAGCUGACGUCUUGUGGUGGGCGGGCUGUCCUUAUGCAGGAGCCCUCUCUCUUGGGGGUGCGCUGCAUUGUUCCUUAGAUCUUCCUCCAUCUGGCCUCUCCUGCCUUUUGAGCAUCCCUGAGGGCACAUCUUACCUGAAUCCAGGUGACACAGAGUAAAGGCUGGUGAGGCGGGGCAGGGUGGGUGAAUCAGGAUGCCUGACUCGAAGUGUGUCCCCCUGAUGGACUCAAAGGAGGGCUGACACACAGGGAGCAGGGAGGCAUGUGGAGGACUUGGGGAAACACUGUCCUCCGCAGGCCUCAGAGUCUGAGAGAGAGACGGGAGGACCCCACCAGGCUCCCAGGUGCUUAAGGGCAGUGCCCGCGGAACCAGGUGGUGUCAGGAGACAGAGGUGUGGGACGAGACUGGCCGGGAGUCGUGAUGGCCACUACAGGACGAGGAGCUUGACACACCCAGUGGCUUGGCAUGGGCGCGUCCCAGCGCAGAGGUGCGGUUCAAGCCGGUGGUUUGGGUCCCUCUGGGGUCUGCCUUGUGAGGGGGGCUAGGUUAUAGGUCACCUCUCACUCUCAGGUCUAAAUUAACUCACCUGAUAGGAAGGACCUUGUCAUCUCUGGGUCACUUUCAGACAGCUCAGGGAGCCUGAAGUCCACAUGACUGGACAUGCUGUCAAGAACUCUGACUGGGAGUUCCCGUCAUGGAGAACUAGGAACCAUGAGGUUUUGGGUUCAAUCCCUGGCCUUGCUUAGUGGGUUAAGGAUCCAG
RNAcentral lists this long non-coding RNA (5603 nucleotides) under Sus scrofa (pig). RNAcentral's name for it is "lncRNA (ENSSSCG00065030659.1)". Lineage: Eukaryota; Metazoa; Chordata; Mammalia; Artiodactyla; Suidae. The record is from RNAcentral.